GAUGAACGCUGGCGGCGUGCCUAAUACAUGCAAGUCGAGCGAACAGACGAGGAGCUUGCUCCUCUGACGUUAGCGGCGGACGGGUGAGUAACACGUGGAUAACCUACCUAUAAGACUGGGAUAACUUCGGGAAACCGGAGCUAAUACCGGAUAAUAUAUUGAACCGCAUGGUUCAAUAGUGAAAGACGGUUUUGCUGUCACUUAUAGAUGGAUCCGCGCCGCAUUAGCUAGUUGGUAAGGUAACGGCUUACCAAGGCAACGAUGCGUAGCCGACCUGAGAGGGUGAUCGGCCACACGGGAACUGAGACACGGUCCAGACUCCUACGGGAGGCAGCAGUAGGGAAUCUUCCGCAAUGGGCGAAAGCCUGACGGAGCAACGCCGCGUGAGUGAUGAAGGUCUUCGGAUCGUAGAACUCUGUUAUUAGGGAAGAACAAAUGUGUAAGUAACUAUGCACGUCUUGACGGUACCUAAUCAGAAAGCCACGGCUAACUACGUG
Molecule: ribosomal RNA, 497 nt
Filed under: uncultured bacterium
Lineage: Bacteria
Description: partial 16S ribosomal RNA
Rfam family: Bacterial small subunit ribosomal RNA
Source: RNAcentral